This 330-nucleotide long non-coding RNA is filed under the name Cyanistes caeruleus (blue tit). Its description in RNAcentral is "lncRNA (ENSCCEG00000019309.1)". The record is from RNAcentral. Lineage: Eukaryota; Metazoa; Chordata; Aves; Passeriformes; Paridae.
AUGCUGUGUAUCCCAUCUCAGCUCUUUGCCAUGGAAACUAUGCUAAGGAGCCAGAAGAGCUACUAUCCCUGCAGCAGCAGCCACCAGCAGGACAAAAAGAAUGCUUCAAGAGGGCUGCCACAAAAAGGGACUGAGCCUGCAGCUCUUCCCUACUGCACUGUAAACUUGAUUCUCCAAAAACCCAUGAGAAGCUUCUGGCUAGUCCUGUUUUGGCUACGAACUAUGGGUGUUGUGGCUCAUCUCAGCCAAAACCCAAAUUCUGGCAACCACCAAUUACAUCUGUUGCAAAGGAAGAUGAAGGAAGCCUUUCCAAAGACAACUCUGGAAUAA